RNAcentral lists this ribosomal RNA (253 nucleotides) under uncultured bacterium. Its description in RNAcentral is "partial 16S ribosomal RNA". It matches the Rfam family "Bacterial small subunit ribosomal RNA", at positions 524 to 776 of the family's 1533-position model. The record is from RNAcentral.
UACGUAGGGUGCGAGCGUUAGUCGGAAUUACUGGGCGUAAAGCGUGCGCAGGCGGUAAGUUAAGUCUGAUGUGAAAGCCCCGGGCUCAACCUGGGAAUGGCAUUGGAAACUGGCUUGCUAGAGUGUGGCAGAGGGGGGUGGAAUUCCGCGUGUAGCAGUGAAAUUCGUAGAUAUUCGGCGGAACACCAGUGGCGAAGGCGACUCACUGGCCCGAUACUGACGCUGAGGCACGAAAGCGUGGGGAGCAAACAGG